CCCACUGGGAAAAAUGAAGGACCUAAUUUUCAAUCAGUAAAAACCCAAGCAACUCAAGAAAUGCAGGUGAAGAUUCAAAAUGAAAUUUUGGAAUUUGCUGGCAAAUAUAAGGUGGAGAGCGCGAGCGAGGGAGCGAGCAUGUCGGACCCGGUGGUGUGCAGCUUUAUCACCAAGGUGAUCUGCUCCAAAGGGGGCCGCGUGGAGUACAGCAGGCUGGCGAGCGAAGUGCAACUCCCCGACCCACAGCUGCGGCAGAUCCUGGAGGAGCCCGGGCAGGAGAGAUUCCUGGUGCGACCCGACGGGACCUCCACCUGGGUCUUGGCCGUCUCCGCCGUGAGGACCUGCGUCCGCAAGGAGUGCGAGGGCUGUGACAGACUCCAUCUCUGCAAGCUCAACCUCAAGUGGAAGUGCAGGGCCAGGUCUUGUAAGUACUCUCACAACAUUUUAUCAGAAGAUAAUCAAAAAGUCCUGAAGAAUCAUGAACUUUCUGGCCUGAACGAGAAUGAGUUGCGUGUUUUGCUUUUUCAAAAUGACCCCUUUCUCUUACCUGAUGUAUGCAAUGCCUACAACAGAGGUGACAAGAACUGCAACCAGCCGGAUGAUUGUCCCAAGCUUCACAUUUGCCGGCACUUUCUCAAAGGAGAGUGCAGGUUUUCCCACUGCAAGAAGUCUCAUAACCUUCUGGAACCAAAAAUCCUGGCUCUGCUACUUGCAGAGGGCAUGGAUGAUAAGAUGGCCUGGAAUAUCCAGACAAUCUGCGAUUACAAAGCUGCUGCAUUGAUACAGGACUUAGGUGCAUAUUUCAAGCCAGCAAGAGGUCGAGCAAAACCAACGGGUGGGAAUCAUGGAGAGCCCAAACGGGAGCGAGAUUCCUCUGUGCAUACUUUCUUGAAGCCAAGCCUUGACCAAAAUAUGGGAACAGCUUAUAAUACUAAACUUCCACAGAAUACAGACAAAGAGAAAAGUCAUGAGAAAGACAAAAUUGAUGAAAUAUGUUUGCACUACCUCUGGCACUUCUGCAAAAACAAAAGUAACUGCAACAUGAUCCAUUACGAUUUGCCAUAUCGGUGGCAAGUACAGACAGGAGAUGGCUGGAAGGAUUUGGCUAAACGAGAGGAAAUAGAGAAAGCCUACAGUGACCCAAGCAUUACUACAUAUAAAGCUAAUCCUGCCCUCGUUGUGAAAAGUCUUUUGGAUCUUGAUAUUGAUUUUAAGACCAUGAUGUCUAAUGCUUGUCCAGUUCGACGGUUAUCUACUCCAUCAUCUGUCACCAGACCUGCAAAGUUUGUGAUGACCACAAAGUGGCUUUGGUAUUGGAAGAACGAUGUAGGCCAAUGGAUUGAAUAUGGGAAACAGGAUGGAACACGCCAAGGCUCCAGUUUAAAUUCUGAUGACCUAGAGAAUUUAUUCCUAGCAGACCCAGCUGGCAGCAUCCAGUUUAGUGCAGGACCCCAGAAAUAUGAGAUUAAUUUUAAUGAUAUGAUCCAGAGAAAUUUGUUGUACCAAACGCAGAGGGACGUCCGGAGGCGCCCCAAAUUUGUUUCUGCUGAAGAUGUAAAGACAAAGAAAGGACUGUUGAACUCAACAAACUGUCUCCUGAAUAUACGAACAUUGAAUAUCUCUUUCAAAAGACAAUGAGCAAUUACAUCAUCCUCAGAAUAAGAAGAAUCCAGAACCCAUCCCUUUGGCAAGUUUACCAGUGGCAAAAAGAGCAGAUGAAGAAGAAAAGAGGAGGGCGGAGUGCUGAUGAGAAGCUCCUGUUCCAUGGGACCACUUCUAACCUGGAAACCA
Molecule: non-coding RNA, 1791 nt
Organism: Pogona vitticeps (central bearded dragon)
Lineage: Eukaryota; Metazoa; Chordata; Lepidosauria; Squamata; Agamidae
Source: RefSeq, a predicted model, not a curated record